RNAcentral lists this ribosomal RNA (1085 nucleotides) under Modicisalibacter zincidurans. RNAcentral describes it as "bacterial SSU rRNA". It matches the Rfam family "Bacterial small subunit ribosomal RNA", at positions 60 to 1136 of the family's 1533-position model. Lineage: Bacteria; Pseudomonadati; Pseudomonadota; Gammaproteobacteria; Oceanospirillales; Halomonadaceae. The record is from RNAcentral.
AGUCGAGGGGAAAGGUGGUCCAGCUUGCUGGAUGCCGACGAGCGGCGGACGGGUGAGUAAUGCAUAGGAAUCUGCCCAAUAGUGGGGGAUAACCUGGGGAAACCCAGGCUAAUACCGCAUACGUCCUACGGGAGAAAGCGGGGGCUCUUCGGACCUCGCGCUAUCGGAUGAGCCUAUGUCGGAUUAGCUGGUUGGUGAGGUAACGGCUCACCAAGGCGACGAUCCGUAGCUGGUCUGAGAGGAUGAUCAGCCACACCGGGACUGAGACACGGCCCGGACUCCUACGGGAGGCAGCAGUGGGGAAUAUUGGACAAUGGGCGCAAGCCUGAUCCAGCCAUGCCGCGUGUGUGAAGAAGGCUUUCGGGUUGUAAAGCACUUUCAGUGGGGAAGAAAGCGUGCCGGCCAAUACCCGGUACGGACGACAUCACCCACAGAAGAAGCACCGGCUAACUCCGUGCCAGCAGCCGCGGUAAUACGGAGGGUGCGAGCGUUAAUCGGAAUUACUGGGCGUAAAGCGCGCGUAGGCGGCUGAGUAAGCCGGUUGUGAAAGCCCCGGGCUCAACCUGGGAAUGGCAUCCGGAACUGUUUAGCUAGAGUGCAGGAGAGGAAGGUAGAAUUCCCGGUGUAGCGGUGAAAUGCGUAGAGAUCGGGAGGAAUACCAGUGGCGAAGGCGGCCUUCUGGACUGACACUGACGCUGAGGUGCGAAAGCAUGGGUAGCAAACAGGAUUAGAUACCCUGGUAGUCCAUGCCGUAAACGAUGUCGACUAGCCGUUGGGUCCCUUGAGGACUUAGUGGCGCAGUUAACGCGAUAAGUCGACCGCCUGGGGAGUACGGCCGCAAGGUUAAAACUCAAAUGAAUUGACGGGGGCCCGCACAAGCGGUGGAGCAUGUGGUUUAAUUCGAUGCAACGCGAAGAACCUUACCUACCCUUGACAUCCUGCGAACCCUCCGGAGACGGAAGGGUGCCUUCGGGAGCGCAGAGACAGGUGCUGCAUGGCUGUCGUCAGCUCGUGUUGUGAAAUGUUGGGUUAAGUCCCGUAACGAACGCAACCCUUGUCCCUAUUUGCCAGCGAUUCGGUCGGGA